This 742-nucleotide long non-coding RNA is filed under the name Marmota monax (woodchuck). The record is from RNAcentral. Lineage: Eukaryota; Metazoa; Chordata; Mammalia; Rodentia; Sciuridae.
CCUGGAUGUUUUAAGUUUUACUGGAUGUUUAAAACCAAAACUUGGAAACAAAAGAAAGUAAAAGGGCUAAAGAAAAAAAUGGCCCAUAUUUUGGCCCUUGCCCUUUAAGAUUAGCCAAAAUUCAGGGAAUGACAGGACUUCUCUAAGGACCCUGCAACUCCAGUAAGUCACCUGGCCUCCCAGGAAAGGAGUCAAGGAAUGCACAUUUUACAAAGAGGAUUACUGAAGAGUGAAAUGUCUCUGAUGGUUCCAAGGGAAGCCAAAUGUGGUCAGCAAGACCCUGACCAAUCUGGUAGAUGGCACAUAUAGUAGGAAAAAACUAAAGGAGUCAAAAGGCUUCUCAUAAGUUCCCAAAAGUAAUCCCUAAGGAAUCUCAGCUGACUAUUAACAGUAGAUAGGUACAAGGUGAAUGUUUUACCAACUUAAUCUUAAACACCCAGUAGGAGAGUAUAACCAAAACAUAGUCAUACAUGGACAUUUUAAAGAAAAGACAACUGUUCUUUUAAUGUAACUUGAGAUAUACAUUUGUGUCAGUCCCCCCCAAAAUAAUUAAAAGUGGGAGGCUGUAAAUAAAGGGUUUGGGGCCUGAGGAUGUGGUUCAUUUGCAGCUGAAUGAUGACAUUCUCUUAAAAAUUUGUGUGCUUGCCUAGUGUAAAAAUGUAGUGUGCUUGCCUAGCAUGUGUGAUGCACUGGGUUCAAUCCUCAGCACCACAUUAAAAACAUAAACAAAAUAAAGGUAUUG